This 717-nucleotide ribosomal RNA is filed under the name Rhodococcus qingshengii. Its description in RNAcentral is "bacterial SSU rRNA". It matches the Rfam family "Bacterial small subunit ribosomal RNA", at positions 18 to 753 of the family's 1533-position model. Lineage: Bacteria; Bacillati; Actinomycetota; Actinomycetes; Mycobacteriales; Nocardiaceae. The record is from RNAcentral.
UUCUGCUCAGGACGAACGCUGGCGGCGUGCUUAACACAUGCAAGUCGAGCGGUAAGGCCUUUCGGGGUACACGAGCGGCGAACGGGUGAGUAACACGUGGGUGAUCUGCCCUGCACUUCGGGAUAAGCCUGGGAAACUGGGUCUAAUACCGGAUAUGACCUCCUAUCGCAUGGUGGGUGGUGGAAAGAUUUAUCGGUGCAGGAUGGGCCCGCGGCCUAUCAGCUUGUUGGUGGGGUAAUGGCCUACCAAGGCGACGACGGGUAGCCGACCUGAGAGGGUGACCGGCCACACUGGGACUGAGACACGGCCCAGACUCCUACGGGAGGCAGCAGUGGGGAAUAUUGCACAAUGGGCGAAAGCCUGAUGCAGCGACGCCGCGUGAGGGAUGACGGCCUUCGGGUUGUAAACCUCUUUCAGCAGGGACGAAGCGCAAGUGACGGUACCUGCAGAAGAAGCACCGGCUAACUACGUGCCAGCAGCCGCGGUAAUACGUAGGGUGCAAGCGUUGUCCGGAAUUACUGGGCGUAAAGAGUUCGUAGGCGGUUUGUCGCGUCGUUUGUGAAAACCAGCAGCUCAACUGCUGGCUUGCAGGCGAUACGGGCAGACUUGAGUACUGCAGGGGAGACUGGAAUUCCUGGUGUAGCGGUGAAAUGCGCAGAUAUCAGGAGGAACCACCGGUGGCGAAGGCGGGUCUCUGGCAGUACUACGCUAGACAAG